This is a non-coding RNA of Smittium simulii, 74 nucleotides long. The record is from the annotation of a GenBank genome assembly. NCBI's taxonomy places the organism in Eukaryota, Fungi, Kickxellomycota, Harpellomycetes, Harpellales, Legeriomycetaceae.
GCCUUCUUAGCUCAGUUGGUAGAGCGUCUGCCUCGUAAGCAGAAGGUCGGUGGUUCGAUUCUCGCCAGCAGGCA